Molecule: ribosomal RNA, 253 nt
Filed under: uncultured bacterium
Lineage: Bacteria
Description: partial 16S ribosomal RNA
Rfam family: Bacterial small subunit ribosomal RNA
Source: RNAcentral
UACAGAGGUGGCAAGCGUUGUUCGGAAUUACUGGGCGUAAAGGGCGCGUAGGCGGUUCGAUAAGUCCCGUGUGAAAUCCCUCGGCUCAACUGAGGAACUGCACGGGAAACUGACGGGCUUGAGUUCGGGAGAGGGAAGCGGAAUUCCGGGUGUAGCGGUGAAAUGCGUAGAUAUCCGGAGGAACACCGGUGGCGAAGGCGGCUUCCUGGACCGACACUGACGCUGAGGCGCGAAAGCGUGGGGAGCAAACAGG